GAUGAAGAACGUAGCGAAAUGCGAUACGUAAUGUGAAUUGCAGAAUUCAGUGAAUCAUCGAAUCUUUGAACGCAUAUUGCGCUCUCUGGUAUUCCGGAGGGCAUGCUUGUUUGAGUAUCAGUAAACACCUCAACUUCCAUAUCUUUUUUGAAAUGGGAGUUGGACUUGAGUGAUCCCAACGCUUUUCCUCACCGAAAAGUGGCGGGUUACUUGAAAUGCAGGUGCAGCUGGACUUUUCUCUGAGCUAUAAGCAUAUCUAUUUAGUCUGCCUAAAAAACAGAUUAUUACCUUUGCUGCAGCUAACAUAAAGGAGAUUAGUUCUUGUGCUGACUGAUGCAGGAUUCACAAAGACAGGCUUCGGCCGACUUUGUAAACUCGAUCUCAAAUCAAGUAAGACUACCCGCUGAACUUAAGCAUAUCAAUAAGCGGAGGA
This 433-nucleotide unclassified non-coding RNA is filed under the name soil metagenome. Its description in RNAcentral is "partial contains 5.8S ribosomal RNA, internal transcribed spacer 2, and large subunit ribosomal RNA". The stretch from base 1 to 120 matches the Rfam family "5.8S ribosomal RNA", at positions 35 to 154 of the family's 154-position model. The record is from RNAcentral.